AAGUUUGUUGGUAAGGCCUUUUUUUUUUAAUUAGUUGGUUUACGGACAACUAGUGUCAAAGGUUAGGGUCGGAGGAGGUAAAAAAAAUAAAAAUAAAAUAGCAAUCUUAGAUUUUUUUUUUGUUCACAUAUAACUGUUCUGAAAAAUUUGAAUGGAGGAAAAAAAAAAAAAAAAAUGCUGUUCAUUCAUGACAUUACAGGGGUUGAGGAGGAGAAAUAGUUUAGCUCUUAUCUUGAUAUGCUUUGCAUUUGAUGGAUGGAUGGUCAAUUGUUGUUUAAUGUCUAGUGGCUAAUCAGAUGCAUAAUUAGGAUGAGAAUAUGAUAAUGAGAAAUGAAAUGCUAAACUGACACACUGAGCCAGAAUUUAAAUGUGGUAGCUCACAAGGUAACAGUUCCCCCAAAGAUAUGUUACCUUACCCAAACACAUUAUUCUGACUCCUUUAAUAAUUGCAAUUGCAGCGUGCUUGGCGAAGAAGCAGCAGAUACCAAUUUUUAAGUCUUUGAUUUGACCGGGUCAAGGUUCAAACCCAAGAUCUCUCACUCUCCAGGUGAACACAAUACCAUCAC
Molecule: long non-coding RNA, 566 nt
Filed under: Mytilus galloprovincialis (Mediterranean mussel)
Lineage: Eukaryota; Metazoa; Mollusca; Bivalvia; Mytilida; Mytilidae
Source: RNAcentral